RNAcentral lists this ribosomal RNA (497 nucleotides) under uncultured bacterium. Its description in RNAcentral is "partial 16S ribosomal RNA". It matches the Rfam family "Bacterial small subunit ribosomal RNA", at positions 28 to 507 of the family's 1533-position model. The record is from RNAcentral.
GAUGAACGCUGGCGGCGUGCCUAAUACAUGCAAGUCGAGCGAACAGAUAAGGAGCUUGCUCCUUUGACGUUAGCGGCGGACGGGUGAGUAACACGUGGAUAACCUACCUAUAAGACUGGGAUAACUUCGGGAAACCGGAGCUAAUACCGGAUAACAUAUUGAACCGCAUGGUUCAAUAGUGAAAGGCGGCUUUGCUGUCACUUAUAGAUGGAUCCGCGCCGUAUUAGCUAGUUGGUAAGGUAACGGCUUACCAAGGCAACGAUACGUAGCCGACCUGAGAGGGUGAUCGGCCACACUGGAACUGAGACACGGUCCAGACUCCUACGGGAGGCAGCAGUAGGGAAUCUUCCGCAAUGGGCGAAGGCCUGACGGAGCAACGCCGCGUGAGUGAUGAAGGUCUUCGGAUCGUAAAACUCUGUUAUCAGGGAAGAACAAAUGUGUAAGUAACUGUUCACAUCUUGACGGUACCUGAUCAGAAAGCCACGGCUAACUACGUG